RNAcentral lists this unclassified non-coding RNA (465 nucleotides) under Hevea brasiliensis (rubber tree). Lineage: Eukaryota; Viridiplantae; Streptophyta; Magnoliopsida; Malpighiales; Euphorbiaceae. The record is from RNAcentral.
GAUUCGGCGGCGGCUAGCUGUGAGCCGUAUGCGAGGGAAUUGCUCUCCGGGGCUCAGUCGAGGCACGCUAUCUUUUACGAGGAGUUUGUGGUGAAGGCAUUCUAUGAGGCAGAGAAAGCUCAUAGGGGGCAGAUGAGGGCGAGCGGAGAUCCGUACUUGCAGCAUUGUGUGGAAACGGCGGUGUGGCUUGCGAGAAUUGGUGCUAAUACAACGGUUGUUGCGGCGGGGCUUUUACAUGAUACUCUUGAUGAUUCGUUCAUGAAUUAUGACUAUAUCUUUCAGAAUUUCGGUGCUGGGGUAGCGGAUCUGGUGGAGGGGGUCUCAAAGCUAAGCCAUCUGAGCAAGCUUGCCCGUGAAAAUAACACUGCAACUAAAACCAUCGAAGCUGACCGGCUACACACAAUGUUCCUUGCAAUGGCUGAUGCCAGAGCCGUUCUUAUAAAGCUAGCAGAUAGGCUACAUAAC